RNAcentral lists this non-coding RNA (202 nucleotides) under Geosporobacter ferrireducens. The record is from RNAcentral. Lineage: Bacteria; Bacillati; Bacillota; Clostridia; Peptostreptococcales; Thermotaleaceae.
AAGUGAAUAUUUCCAAUAAGUGCCUCUACUUUUGAGGAUAAUAGGGAAUCGGGUGUAAUUCCUGAACGGUCCCGCCACUGUAAGCGAGGAGCGACUUAUCAUUUAACCACUGUUUUCUGUUCUUGGAGGAAUAAGAAGAUGGGAAGGAGAUAAGGAGCAUUGAUCCGCGAGUCAGGAAACCUGCUUGUUGGUACAGAUUGUU